Long non-coding RNA from Brassica rapa (field mustard), 597 nucleotides. RefSeq lists it as uncharacterized. NCBI's taxonomy places the organism in Eukaryota, Viridiplantae, Streptophyta, Magnoliopsida, Brassicales, Brassicaceae. The record is from RefSeq and is a predicted model, not a curated record.
CAAAAUCCAUGUGUUAACCCCUUCGCAAAAUAUUGAGUUUUUGGUAAAUACUUUAUAUACUGAAGCCUAUAAUCUUUAGUGUUGUUUUAAAAUUUCUAACCACAUUCUACAUUUGUAUUAAUGUAUUUAAGCUCUUUUUCAUGGUAUAUGGGAAUCGAUAUAAUUUCUUUAUCAAUUAAUUUAGUAAAUCUUUAUAAUACUUCCGAAAUCGAUGAAAUAACUACUAUAAAAUAACUAUUUUCUUGAAGAAACAGAGACAACAAGGGCUCAAAACAUAUUUGACCAUCAUCAUAUGUUAGUACAAGAUGCAACUAUGCAUUAAAACAAUAUUGUCAUAUUUUUUGAUUUUUUCUCAAAAUCCAUGUAUUAAUCCUUUCGAAAAUAUUGAGUUUUUGGUAAAUACUUUAUAUACUGAAGCCUAUAAUAUUUUGUGUUGUUUUCAAAUUUCUAACCACAUUUUACAUUUUUAUUUAUGUAUUUUAAGCCCUUUUUCAUAGUAUAUGGGAAUUAUUAUAAUUCUUUUAUCAAUUAAUUUAGUAAAGUUUCAUAAUACUCCCGAAAUCGAUGAAAUAACUACUAUAAAAUAACUAUUUUCUU